RNAcentral lists this unclassified non-coding RNA (378 nucleotides) under uncultured Actinomycetes bacterium. Its description in RNAcentral is "uncultured actinobacterium contains 16S-23S intergenic spacer region". Lineage: Bacteria; Bacillati; Actinomycetota; Actinomycetes. The record is from RNAcentral.
UCCGGUUUGGCACCGGCAGUCUCCCUAGAGUUCCCGGCUUUACCCGCUGGCAACUAAGGACAAGGGUUGCGCUCGUUGCGCCACUUAAGGCAACACCUCACGACACGAGCUGACGACAGCCAUGCACCACCUGUGCACCGGCCCCGAAGGGCUGCCGUAUUUCUACGGCUUUCCGGUAUAUGUCAAACCCAGGUAAGGUUCUUCGCGUUGCAUCGAAUUAAACCACAUGCUCCGCUGCUUGUGCGGGUCCCCGUCAAUUCCUUUGAGUUUUAGCCUUGCGGCCGUACUCCCCAGGCGGGGCACUUAAUGCGUUAGCGUCGGCACGGGAGGAGUCGACACCUCCCACACCUAGUGCCCAUCGUUUACGGCAUGGACUAC